Molecule: long non-coding RNA, 6426 nt
Filed under: Nicotiana tabacum (common tobacco)
Lineage: Eukaryota; Viridiplantae; Streptophyta; Magnoliopsida; Solanales; Solanaceae
Description: long non-coding RNA (NTAB_LNC014134)
Source: RNAcentral
UAUUUUUUACUUUUAUUAUUUCUUAGUAAAAAUAUGUAAAACCACAUAGCCCAUAACUUAUACUCUAUCCGACCCUAAAGCCAUUUCCUCUUUCUUCAUAACCCACGCUAAUUUAUCAAUUUCAUCUCCCACUUUCACUCCUAAAUUCUCUCUCUCUCAUCCAAAUUUCUAACAUAAACAGCGCAAUUAGGGUUCUUAGUCAUCGGUGGGAUUUAGCUUUCUUGGUGUAGAGGAGUAAGUUAAAUACCCAAUAGAUUCACAAAGUAGCAGAAUCGUGAGGUCCCAACUUCAGAAUCGUGGGGUCCCAACAUAAACAAUGCUUAGGGUUCUUAUGUUGUGAUUCAAAUUCAUUUUCUGCCAUCAACGUAAGUUGUCCUAUUUCAGACUAGUUUCAGAUUUUCAAUUUUCUUUGUGGUUUUUGUUUGCAUUCCCACAAAUUGGUGGUCUUACUUUUAGAUUUUAAUUUUAAAUGCAUUUUCUUUAUGAGAGUCUUUGAUUUAUUCAGUAGCUACAUUUAGAAGCAAGUUUUUUGUUCGCAGAUUCUCUUGAAAUGAUCGAUUCCUUGAGCGUGUUCAUUCAAUUAGUUUCUCAGUUAGCAUCAAUUGCGAGAAAUUAUUAUCGCAAAAGGCACACUGUGAGAAAUUGCUAGCUGUAAGUGCUUCUUUUCUAAUUUAGAUAUUUUGGUUUUUUUAAUCAUUUCUCUGUUCUUUACUCUUUUGGGUAUCAACGGUGUAUAUGUUUCUUUAGAUUUAUGAUUUGAACCGAAAUUGUUAGUUUUUUUUUCAUUAGGGUGUUUCUAGUGCGAGUCUAAACUUGUUUCUUUUGGUAUCUAUGGUAAAAUAGUUUUCUCUGGAUGAAAUAUUUGUAGAAAUUGAUGUUUGAUUUCCUAUUUACAUGAGCUACUAAGUUGGGUUGUGUGGACUAUUAAGUAUCUGCUUUUGUUUUGUUGGACUAGAACAUAUAUUCAGGUUGUGAAAGGUAUUCAACAUUAUUUUAUAUAUAGAUUUUUAUGGUAUUUCCGUCUAUGUAUCAAUUCCUACUAAAAACUUUAUGUAUCAAUCAAAACUUAUUUACGAUAUGUUUAUUUGGAGUUUAAAAUUGGGAUGUAGGGAAGUAUCUACUUCUAUUUUAUUAGAUCAAUACUUGUAUUCAGUGUAUGAAACAUAUUCACCUUUAAUUUGUUUUAGAUGUAGGUGUAAAUUGUUUGAUGGUAAGUCAAGUUAUUUGUUUGUAAAAGUUAGGUAUGUUUCAAAGUGUGCUACUUUAUAGGUAAUGUAUGAAGUGACGCGAGCUACAUUCUUUAUAGUGAUCAUUUAGGGCUGAUAAUUUGUCAUCUAAAGACUAAAGCAUGAAGUAUUAUAUGAAGCCACACCAUCGAGUACCUAAUUCAAAUAACAAAGAUGGUUUAAAAAUAUACGGAGCAUGAAUCGCAUGUUUUGCACUAAAUGGAAUUUAGUCUUGUAUAUCUUUGAGUGAAUAAUUUUUUUUGGGGUAAUGUAUGUGAAUAUUAACAUAAUAAAAAUUAUUUCCUUACACAAAAAAAGAGCACCUCAUACAUAGAUGGGCCUCAAGUAAAGCAGCAUACCAAACUCCUACAUCCUAGUUACAAAAAACACACUCUAAUUGCUAUAUCUUUAUGUUGCUACUUAUGAAAAAAGUAAGCAGGGAAGUAUUUCUGUAAUUUAAAUUGAGAUCUUGUUUGUUCAGAUCAUUUUUUAUAUAUGUGAAAGUGGUUUAUUGGUUAAGCCCCUUGUAUGCAUAAGCAUUACAGAGAAAAGGAUCUUAUUUUCUUAUAGAAUACUUAUAGUUUGUAAAGAUUUAAAGGUUACAGCUAUUUAAUGAGAACUAAAUCGCUAUCCUUGAUUCCUAAAUUAACAGAGUACUUGUUCAUGGUUUAUUUGAUAAAAUUAGUUCUCUUAUAUUUAUUUGUAACUUAGCUUAACAUAAAUCUUAAUUUUGGUGAUUUACUCGUAUCAUAUAGGAAUUCAAUAAUAACAUAUAUAAAAGUUGGAUGAAUCUCCUAAGAUGGACUGAUGAGUAUAUUCGUGGAGUAAAUAAUUUUCUUGAUAAGGCAUUUGAACGAGCUUCCCAGGGAAAUGAAAUAUUAUGUCCUUGCAAAAAGUGCAUGAAUCGCAAUUGGUAUUAUAAAAAUGUGGUGGAGGAUCACUUGGUAGUAAAUGAGUUUGUUGAUGGUUACACCAAAUGGGUUUUUCAUGGGGAAGGAUUUUCCUCAGCAAAUUCACCUAAUCCAUGCAAUGAUGAUGAUGAUUUUGACAUGUGUGACAAUAUUGAUGGACUACUUCAUGAUACAUUUAGAAAUAUAGAGGGUGAGUCAGGGCAUGAAGGAGUAAAAGAAGAACUAUCUGAAGAUGCAAAGAGAUUUUUUAGAUUGGUGGAUGAAGAAAAACAAGAGUUAUAUCCUGGGUGUGAAACUUUUACUAAACUAAGUUUCACCAUUCGACUAUACUUGCUUAAAUCCUUGCAUGGAUGGAGUAAUGUGGUAUUUUCAGACACGCUAGAGUUGAUAAAAGAGGCAUUUCGCUUUGCUCAACUACCAAAGUCGCUUAACAAGGCUAGAAACAUGAUAAGAGAUUUGGGCCUUCAUUAUGAAAAAAUACAUGCAUGCCCUAAUGAUUGCAUGCUAUUUUGGAAUGACAAUGCGAAUGCUGAUAAUUAUUUUGUUUGUGGGUCUUCAAGAUGGAAGAGUACUAAUGCAAGUUCUAAAAUCCCUACAAAGAUUUUAAGGUACUUUCCCUUGAAGCCUAGGCUGCAAAGGAUGUUCAUGUGUCCUUAAAUAGCUAUUGCAAUGAAAUGGCAUGCUAAUGAACUACCCAAUUAUAGAAAUUUAAGGCAUCAUGCUGAUGGGAAAACUUGGAAGGAUUUUGAUUCCUUGCACCCAGACUUCACUGGGGACUCACGUAAUGUCAGGCUGGGUCUUUCAAGCGAUGGUUUUAAUCCAUUUCGAACCAUGAGCAUUUCUUAUAGUACAUGGCAUGUUGUGUUGAUGAACAGUAAUUUAUCGCCGUGGAUUUGCAUGAAGCCGGAAUAUAUUAUGUUGUCAAUGAUUAUUCCAGGUCUAUCAUCUCCAGGAAAUGAUAUUGAUGUGUACCUACAACCACUAAUUGCUUAACUGAAAGAACUAUGGAAAAUUGGGAUAAAAACAUAUGAUGCUGAUACAAACCAAACAUUUCAAAUGCGUGCAGCUUUAUUGUGGACAAUUAGUAAUUUUUCAGCAUUAGCAAUGCUUUCAUGAUGGAGCACCAAGGGAAGAUUGGCAUGUCCCACUUGUAAUUCUGACACAUGCUCUUAAUAUCUCAAACAUAGUCAUAAGAUGUGUUACUUGGGUCAUCGGAGAUUUUUGCCACCUAAUCAUCCAUUGCGAAAAGAUAAGAGGUCAUUUGAUGGUAAGGAGGAGCAUAGACCUGCACCUACAUCUUUGUCGGGUGUAGAAGUAUUUCAAGAAUUGCUUGAAUUCAACAAUGUUUUUGGAUAGGGCAAAAAGAAAAGGCUUCGGAAUAACAAGAGUCCUUCGAAAAAGAGAUUCAUUUUUUUUGAAUUGCCAUAUUGGGCGUAUAACAAAUUGAGUCACAAUCUUGAUGUAAUGCACAUUGAGAAAAACAUAUGUGAUAGUUUUAUUAGGACUUAUUUUAGAAAUAGAUGGAAAGUCAAAGGAUCAUGUAAAUUCUCGCUAUGACUUACAAGAAAUGGGGAUACGAAAAGAGCUACAACCAAGAGAAGAUGAUAAUGGAACAGUGAGUUUGGCUCAAGCUUGUUUCUCCAUGAGUCCAGAAGAGAAAAGAUUAUUUUGCAUUGUUAUAAAAAAUUCCAAAUUACCAAAAGGGUGUGCUUCGAAUAUAUCAGAUCGUGUGCAUGUGAAGGAGAUGAAAAUAUCAGGGUACAAAAGUCAUGAUGCUCAUUUUAUAAUGCAUUACUUACUCCAGGUUGCAGUUAGGAAAGCAUUACCCAAGAAUGUUUCGUCGCCCUUGAUUAGGUUGGGCGAUUUCUUUAGAGCCAUAUGUAGUAAGGUUGUAAGGAGAAGGGAUCUUGAAAAAAUGCAAUCUAAAAUUGCUGAAAUAACAUGUGAACUUGAAAGGAUUUUUCUUCCAAUAUUUUUUGAUAUAAUGCCAUAUUUACCUAUUCAUCUGGUGAAUAAAAUUAAGCUUGGGGGUCCGGCUUAUCUUCGUUGGAUGUAUUCUAUUGAGAGGGACCUAUGUAAGUUGAAGGCGUUUGUUCGUAAUCGAUCUUGUCCAGAAGCGUCAACAACAGAGGGUUGAACUAUAUAUUUAACCGUUGGUCUAUAUAUUUAAUUCAAUUCCUUGAAGUUUAAUUUCCAACACUUCAAACCGUUUAUCAUUUUGAUAAUCUGACAAAAAAUUAUGAUUGUUUUACUGAAGGGUGGAAAAGGGGUUGCUAAAUUUAUACUGUCCGUUAUUUCAUAUGUGAUGACAUGUCGAAUUAAAACAAAAAACUUUAUCUUGCUAGGUGUAAUCCGUUGGACAUAGAUUCAAUUUUUCACUUUUUUGGAUUCCUUAGAAUUUCUUUUUCCUGUUCCUGGUGGUAUCAAUAUGCCUGUAUAUCGGGAUAUCUUAUCUGUCUCUCUAGGAAAAUGAAUAUCUCCAAAAAAGAUUUUAAGUUCAAUUCUUUUUUUUUUCUCUCCACCCGGACCAACCUACCGACUCGGCUUCUUAGAUUUAAGGUGAUUUGUGUAUCUACCAAGGGUGUCGUGUUAGUAAACGAACAAUGGACUUUGGGCACCAAGGGGAUCGUGGGGCGGUGGUUAUAAAGUCCAAACCAGCUUUGGUCCUUGAGUGCAGUAGGGACCAUGCUGAGGUUUCCAUGGCACCCAGACGAAAAGCUAUAUUAAAAGGCCAUCGAGGAGAGAGAAAAAUCAUUCUUUCUCAUAAUUUUGAGAGUGUAGGACGACCCCACACCCUAAGUACAUCAAGGCAAGUGUUCAAUGGAAUUAUCAACCUAUUUUUAUCGAUUUAGUGAAGAUUAUAACAUCAAGACAUCGAAUUUCUGCACAAUUAGUCCAAGAAAAGUCUCCAAAAUUUCAACCUUUGAGCUUUUGGAUUAUAAAGCGACGAAAAAAGUAAUAUUUUUACUUCAAAUUUAUUAUGAGAGGUUGUUGAACAUUGUAGUAAAGUUGAUAACAGUUUAUAUCAACAAAUUUACGUCAAAAAUACAAAUUAAAGACACGAACUAAAAACUCAGGCCUUAAGGUUCCAAAUCGUCCAUUGGAGAGGAUAAAUGUUAUUAAAAUUUAAUUUUGAUUAGUGUCCUAAAAUCCUAUCUUUGAGGAUAAUUCUUGAUGGUCAGGGUCCAACAAUUUUGGCAUGUUGACUAGAGUUGACCUUUUAGGUCAUCCUUUAAUCGUGAGUUUGAGUUGUGCUAAAAAUUAAGAGGAUGUCCAACUAACGAUUAUUCGCCAUUCUAAAUCCAUUUUUGUGUAUUUUGAGGUAAUAUCGAGACUGGACAGUGUAGGUCUAUUUUAUUGGAAAGUGUGCUUAAAUUUAAAAUUUGAGGUAAGUGAGAUCUUAAGCGUUAAUGCAAUCUUUUCAAAAUCAAUUCUAAAAAUGUGUUUUACUGUCCAGGCCCAUGUGUUGGGGCGAGCGUGUGCUUGGCAGAAUCUAUGAUCUGUGAGGCCAACCGUGAAUACUUGAUUUUUUAAGUUUAUUAAAGUUCUUUGGUUGUGAGUCAUAGUGUUGGGUCAUUGUGUAUGCUUCUUGAUAUUUCUGGGGCAUUGUGUAUACGUCUCGAUAUAAAUGGGGCAUAUUUGUAUGCCACCUAACAUAUUUAGACAUUGUAUAUGUUUCAUUGAGCGUUAUGUAUGCUUUAUCACAUAUUUAAGACAUUAUGUAUGCUUCGUGACAUAUUUGAGGCAUUGUGUAUGCUGUUUUGGACUCGUGGGAAUUUGGUUAAUUUUGUUUAUUAUGGCUAUAACAAGUUCUUUGUGUGACAUGCGUUAAGAUGUAAUGUUGUUGCUAAAUAAUUAUAUUGACUUUAAUUUGUUGAUAUAUUUUAUUAUGAUGUAAAUAUUAUGUUAUUAUAUCAUGUUCGUUGUUAUUGUGUUUGUAUAACUCACUCCUUACUUGCAUGUCCUUUCAGAUCUGUUGUCCAGGACAAGGCUAAUGGCUGACAAAUUCAAUCGAGUGGAUUUUGUUGCUGAGGUGAGUCACCGCAUUGUUGGUGGAGGCCACCAUUUCAGCUCUAUUUAAUUUAUCUUAUUUAUUUUUAUUUUUGGUGUUUGCACGUCCAGCAGUAAAAUACAUGUAACUCUAUUAGAUGAUCCAUGAUCGUAGUAUGGUAUUUGGGAUACAAUCUAUAACAUUUGGAUUUAUUAUUUAAUAUUUAUAUUUAACUAAUGGUUUGUUUGGAUGCUCCUUUAACUUACUAAAUGAUGCGAAUGAGUGGUUAAGUGUAUGG